UACGUAGGGGGCAAGCGUUGUCCGGAAUCAUUGGGCGUAAAGCGCGUGUAGGCGGCCACGUUAGUCCGUUCUGAAAGCCCGGGGCUCAACCCCGGGAGGCGGAUGGAUACUGCGUGGCUCGAGUCCGGAAGAGGCGAGUGGAAUUCCUGGUGUAGCGGUGAAAUGCGCAGAUAUCAGGAGGAACGCCAAUGGCGAAGGCAGCUCGCUGGGACGUGACUGACGCUGAGACGCGAAAGCGUGGGGAGCAAACAGG
This 253-nucleotide ribosomal RNA is filed under the name uncultured bacterium. RNAcentral describes it as "partial 16S ribosomal RNA". It matches the Rfam family "Bacterial small subunit ribosomal RNA", at positions 524 to 776 of the family's 1533-position model. The record is from RNAcentral.